CAUCAAGGUGACACAGGCCUGUAAUCCCAACACCUGAGAGGUAGAGUCAGCAGGGUCAGAAGUUCAAGGCUAUCCUCAGCUACUUUGUGAAGUUCCAGGCUAGCCUGGGCUACAUGAGUGCCUAUCCAGAGAUGGAAUGAAAUACAGUAGAUUUUCAGUUGCAGUUGCUUCCGUAGCUCAUACCACAAGGAACAGAGCAGACUCAGGUUUUAAGCAGGACUCCAGUAAUGUCUCCAACCUCCUGAGCUGAUCAAGUAGCCAUCGGGUUACUUGAAGCCAGAAAGUUCAAACUAGCCAUAAUUGUCUGCCCCUACUCCUUGGGAAGGAAUGGUUCAGAUGGGGAAACUGAGGCAUGGAAGGGUGUGGGUUUGGGGGCAUCUACAGAGAUCUGAGCAGCAUAGCUCACACCUGUAGCUUGGGGCAGGGAGGGGUUAGCAGAGGAACAGAGAUGCCCAUUGCAGCAAGAGGGAAUGACAUUGGAUUUCAGUCACAUAACAAGCAAGACCCUAUAGCAAGAGGUUCUCAGCCUUCUAACACUGCAACCCUGUGAUACAGUGCCUCAUGUUGUAGUGACCCCUAACCAUAAAAUUAUCUCGUUGCUGCUUCAUAACUAUAAUUUUGCCAUUGACAUGGAUUGUAAUGUAAAUAUCCGAUAUCUGGUAUGCGACCCCUGUAAAGGGGGCAUUCAGCCUCCAGCCCCAGCCCUGGGAUUGCAACGGACAGGUUGGGAAACGCCGAGCUAGAGGAAGAAGUCACAAGGAGCCUCUUCUCCAUGCUCCUGGCUGGACAUCCACCCUGAGUCCAGUGCUCGCUCUCUUCCCCCUAGGAUGCCCCGCCCCAGGGGUGAAAGCAGGCCAGCUUCCUGGAGCGAGAUCUGGACCUCUUGGCUCCGCCCCGGGACCUUGGCGGCUGCCUGAGUCCCUGGCACUGGGCAGAGUCAACCCAUCUGGGGCUCAGCCAAGGCUUAAUCUUCCUUCUCUCUCCUCUGGCUGGGUCUGCACGCAGGAGCUGAGUCAGGGCAUUGCAACAUCUGGUUUGUUCUCUCUUAGUCCUGGGAGAGUGACACCCCACAUGCCCCUCCCCCAACCGCGUUGAUCAGGGCAGAGGGACAGGGUCAGAAUAUGGGAAGGUUGGCACCUGCCCCUUGGCGGGUGACUGGGUGUCUUGGAAGGUUGGGUAUAGGUCAGAAGGAUUCAGGAGUUGGCAGUCAGGCGAUGUGAUGAUUGUGCCGACCAGGUCCUCAUCUGUGAAUGAGACACUGUCAGAUUGGGUUGAGCCAGGCAUGCCCCGGACACCUGCUGUCUCAGCUUUUGAAGGCUGAGAGGCUCAUGAGUUUGAGGUCAGCUUUGGACACAGAGUAAGAGAAGCACAUCUGGCAAAAAGACAAAGCAAAACAAAACAAAAGAACCAGACCUGCUAGCUGCCUGCCUGGUAAAUGGCUUGCCCUCUCUGAGCAAGCUUCCUCACUUAUAAAGUGGGGCUAAAUGUACGCCUUAUCAGAUGGCUAUGAGGGUCAAGAUGGCUCAGCCCCUCUCAGGACAGUCCUGGCACAGUAUAAAUUCCAGUAAGAAGUGACAGGUUGUGCUGGAACACUCCCUUUAUCCCAGUGCUUAGAAGACAAGGUGUUGGGACUAAAGGUGUGCACCACCACCACCACCACCUGGCUAGUUACACAUAUUUAUUUUGUGUGUGUGUGUGUGUGUGUGUGUGUGUGUGUGUGUGUGUAUCCACAUGUCAGAGUACUCAUGUGGAAUCGAGAAGACGGCUUUUGGGAAUCAGUUCUUUCCAUGUCGGUCCUGGGGAUCGAACUCAGGUCUUGGGCUUUGAAGGCAACAGCUUUCCUUGCUGUGCCAGACCGCCGGGCCAAGCUCUGGUGCUGUACCUCAUCAGUCUUGUUUGCCUGGCUCCCCACAAGUACCAGACACCAGGAAAGCACAGCUGCCACGUGAUCUUUGGAAACAGGGCUCAGCCUUCCAGGCAUCCGAUCUAGCUGGCCUCAGUCCCCACCCCCAGUGAUCUCAUACUGUUAUGACGACAUUGAGAAUGACAUGUGACAUUUGGGAGACUCAGUGACUCUGCAGUUAAGCCUCUGGCAUUGCUGUGCCUGGCACAGUGGCGCCUCCGGAGAACAUCUCCAUCCUGCUGUGGGAGGAUCCAGGGCUCUGGGCAGUGUGGCCUCCGCAGCACCCUGCCUCGCCACUCCCUCCCAGUUUGUCUGGAAGGUGGGGUUGCUCCUUCUUCCUGGGUAGGGCAUGAUGAGAUUGGCUGUGGAAACCCCCUGGGAGUCUGGCACGCUCCACUUUCAGGGACAGUCAUUAGCCAGCUGGUGUCAUGGCACCUGUGGGUGACAGUGAACUUGCUGGACAACACGUUGUCAAGCUACUGACUUAUCUGCCAGUGUUCUCAGUGGGUGGAGUCAGCCUCGACUUUGAUCUUCAGUGUCUGCUGGGACUUCUGGUUGCUUCACAUCCUUGCUAGCUCUGGAUCCUUCAGAUCUCUUUCAGGAUAUCACUUUAAUGACUUGUCUACAGACUUUCCCAAUUCUCUGCUUCCCAUUUGGACUGCUGAGGCUGGAGAUCCUGUUGCCCUCUUCAAUACACACCCCUAAACUUUACCUGGCUCCUUUACAGACUGCAUGGCCAACAUGCAGGUUUCAGGUGUUCACUGACUCACGCACUCACUGACCCAUUUUUCAAGCAUCUGUUGAGCACCAGUUGUUUGCCUGGCACUGUCCUUGAAGGCAGAAGUCAGAGGACAACCUGUGGCAGUCAGCCCUCUCUUUCCGCCAUGUGGAUCCCAGCGAUGGAACUCCGGUCAUCAGGAUUGACAGCAAGCGCAUGUACCCACAAGCCAUCUUGCUGCCCAGUCACCCGCCCCAGCCCCGUUCUCAUAUUUACUUAUUUGCUUCAUUCCUCUGGAGUUCUGGGACAUAAAGGAGGGAUGAGCGUGAAGAGCAGGAGGCAUUUCCUCCUUGGGAAGAACUGCGAAGCCGGGCGCUCCUGGGAACACCUGUCCUGCCGGUAUUCAGGAGGCGCUUCCAAGUCAGCCCGGGCUGUAGCAAAACGCUGCCCCCAAAGCACAAAAUAAACUCACAGACAUUCAAA
Mus musculus (house mouse) is the source of this 3104-nucleotide long non-coding RNA. RefSeq annotates it as predicted gene, 34891. The record is from RefSeq and is a predicted model, not a curated record. Lineage: Eukaryota; Metazoa; Chordata; Mammalia; Rodentia; Muridae. The transcript has 4 exons.